Molecule: non-coding RNA, 935 nt
Organism: Salvelinus sp. IW2-2015
Lineage: Eukaryota; Metazoa; Chordata; Actinopteri; Salmoniformes; Salmonidae
Source: RefSeq, a predicted model, not a curated record
UGUCUGUCUCUAGAUCCUAUAUGAAGGUGUUUAAGAUGCCAGUCACUUAUUAUUGCUUUUGAAGUCCGAGGAAAGACUACUGAACAGAAACCUCUAGCAAUAUUAUUAUUAUUAUUAUUAUCCAACACCCCACACAUAUAAUACCAUCACAAUACAAUAUAUAAUGAGGUGAGGCUGGUUAGUGUAAUGGACAUACUGAUGGUAGGUCGUGUCAGUAUUGUUUCAGGAGGCUGGGACACCGCUGUUGUUGUUGUUGCUGCCAUCGUUCCUUUACCUUUCAGAUUCCUGCUUCUGUCUGUCUUUUAAGAUUGCACUGAAACCGUAGCAGAAACUGGAGUUUAGAGUAGAGAAGCAGACCUAGGUGAUGUCCCACGUGGCACCCUAUUCCCUAUGUAGUGCACUACCCCUAUAGGCCCUGGUCAAGAGUAGUGCACUAUCUAGGGAAUAGGGUGCUAUUUAAGACGCCGCCCUGGUGUGAGCUGACACUGGUUCAGAGGCACAGACCUAGGAUCAGCGUAACCUGCCCCCUACCCUGACCUUACUGUCUAGUCCAGGUGAUCUUUAUCCUACUAGUCCCACUGCUGUAACGCUGCUAGCUGGACCUGCUAGAGUCCUUUAUCUGUCCCUCUAUCCCUGUCUCACGACAGUCUAAACCCAGCUCACGUUACCUAUUAGUGGAUGAACAAUCCAACGCUUGAUGAAAUCUACUAAUAACGCUGUUAGCUGGACCUGCUYGAGUCCUUUAUCUGUCCCUCUAUCCCUSUCUKUCUGGUUGGGGGGCCUGUGAUUGUAAAUACACCAAUCCUCUUCCUAUCUUUAUCUCUCUGUCUUGUCUGUGUUAUAUUCUUUACCUACUAUCUCGCUGUUCCUCUCCUCCAUUUCAUCUGCUGUUUUGAGUUCUCUACAAACAAUGAAUAAAGUCUGAUUUAAAUGAA